Molecule: small nuclear RNA, 106 nt
Organism: Trichosurus vulpecula (common brushtail)
Lineage: Eukaryota; Metazoa; Chordata; Mammalia; Diprotodontia; Phalangeridae
Source: RefSeq, a predicted model, not a curated record
AUGCUCACUUUGGCAGCACAUAUACUAAAUUGGAAUGAUACAGAGAAGAUUAACAGAGUCCCUGAGCAAAGCUGACAUGCAAAUUCAAGAAGUAUUCCAUAUUUGU